Long non-coding RNA from Neodiprion fabricii, 1646 nucleotides. RefSeq lists it as uncharacterized. The record is from RefSeq and is a predicted model, not a curated record. The transcript is spliced from 3 exons. NCBI's taxonomy places the organism in Eukaryota, Metazoa, Arthropoda, Insecta, Hymenoptera, Diprionidae.
GAAUAUUUUUCCAGAACAGGCGAGAAGAUAAUAACGUUCAUUCCUAUUCAUGAGGGUUCCCUUGUAAUUCAAUGAAAAGUGGCAUAAACAAACAGUGAAUGUGAUAAAUAAAACGUACACUGGUACAGAAGCGAGAAACUGGAGGUUGAAGUGAAAAUUGCAAUUACCUACAUACGUUGCAUGGAAUGAAAUACCCCGUUUAAAACAGUGUGUUAUGAAAAGUUGUGAGUAAUUUAAUUGCCGACGUACGGAUGUAUGAACUCUCCUAUUGUGAAUAUAAAUUGCAAAACUUGAUCGCUGGAUAAUUAAUAAUAACGGCUAAUAAGAGCGAGGGGAAAGUUAUAAGCCCCUCGUACUUUCGUUCGACAAUUGUUAACGCAGACUAAUGAAAUAAUUUUAGCUCGUUGAACGUCUGCUUCAAUUCAUUUAAAGAACAAGUUCGAAAUCGCUGGGAACAACUGCGCAAGAAAUUUUCAGUGAUUGUUAUCUUCUCCGUGAUUAUUUCAAAGAUGGCUGUUGAAACGGAAAAGUUUGGAACGGUUCCCGGAAGCUCGUCAUUGUCCCACAGAAGUUGAAAGAGAAUUUGAUUCUCAUUGUCAAGAAAAUGCUUCGAGGACGAAGUUCGGAUCAUUAAACACGCGUAUUUACACGUGGUUUUAUAUCUAAUCCUAACACUCAUGUACAGAGGAAUAUUGUACAUUAUGACCGUGGAUUUAUGGCCAAGCAUGGCCGCAACUUCGUUGAAGAAAGUGCCGCAGGUGAACUGAAAUUUUAUGGGGGAUAGCGUGUACGUGUGGCAAAGAUUCUGCAGGCGGAAAAGACACUGAAGUAUAAAAUUCCCAUGUGAAAUGACGGAAAUGGAUCGUGAUAUUAGUGCAGUGAACGGAAAUGCGAAUAAGUGAUACUCUUGCAGGCUGGAACACGUGGCGUCGAAGAAAAUAACUAUAUUUACGCCUAGUAUUAUGGCCCAUUGUUUCCUGCAGGUGGAUUAAUUUUUCACAUAUAAUCCGGUACAUAAUUGGAUGUACCGGGAACUUAAACUUGGUUCUCACCAAUGUGGAAAAAUUCUGAUGACUGUUGCAAUUCAAGGAUGCUGGUGAUCUAAAAAUCAAUACUUUUUAUUCGUGUUAUUACGAGAUGAUCACACUAUGAGUAUUUAUCGGGUUUAAUAUUCUUAAACUACUGCGAAGAUUCUUUUAUAAGUCUAGAAAUAAGAAAUACUAAAAUUAUGAACAAGAUCCUACAUUUUCUCUUUCGGUAGUCAACUGAAAUUUGCCGUUUGUUGAUGACAAGCUAUUUGGAUGCAAAAUAGUAUUAUUAGAUAUGAAAUAAUCUCUUGGAAGAAAAUAAGUCGUCGUAGAAUAAAAUGGAACGAAUCUACUAUAUUUUCAAUCAUUUUGAAGCGAUUUGAAAUAAAAUGUUAAUAUUUCAUCGUUUCUGUAUAAUUGAAGAAUUUUAUAUUUUCAUAUCAUAUCAUGGGCGAUUAUAUAUUGUGACGAAAUUAGUGAAAAAUAUUGGUUUUUUGCUUAUAAGCCUCUUUAUCGAACACAUCACUCUGUCGGAAUAACAAUCCAGUAAACCAUAGCGAUAAAGACAGCAACCAAAAUUUGAAAAAUCAUUAAUUAUCGCACACAAAUUUUCCGGCA